Molecule: non-coding RNA, 137 nt
Organism: Arvicanthis niloticus (Nile rat)
Lineage: Eukaryota; Metazoa; Chordata; Mammalia; Rodentia; Muridae
Source: RefSeq, a predicted model, not a curated record
UCAGACAUGACCUUCCCUGGUGAGGCUGCUGUGUCACAUGUGGGUCAGUAGGUGGCAGAGAGAAGAGGGGCUGCUGUGUUGUGUCUACACUCAGUGUUCUGACCUAUGAACAUCUGAAUGAUUAGUAGCUUAACAUU